RNAcentral lists this unclassified non-coding RNA (210 nucleotides) under Glomus sp. RNAcentral's name for it is "partial contains 5.8S ribosomal RNA and internal transcribed spacer 2". The stretch from base 1 to 65 matches the Rfam family "5.8S ribosomal RNA", at positions 84 to 154 of the family's 154-position model. The record is from RNAcentral. Lineage: Eukaryota; Fungi; Glomeromycota; Glomeromycetes; Glomerales; Glomeraceae.
GUGAAUCAUCGAAUUUUUGAACGCAAAUUGCACUCUCUUCGGAGAGUACGCCUGUUUGAGGGUCAGCCUAAAAAAAAAUCCACAAUGGUCCUUUUUUGGGGGUUUAUUCGGCGGAAAUUGGGUCAUUUUAAACCCUUGGGUUUUUAGGGGUUUAAAAUUUUUUUUUCAAUUCCCCGACCGUUUUUAAGAUUUUAUUUUUUCCCUUUUAAG